GUGCUUAACACAUGCAAGUCGAACGGGUGUAGCAAUACAUCCGUGGCGAACGGGUGCGUAACACGUGGAUAACCUUCCUACAGGUGGGGAAUAACCCAGUGAAAAUUGGGCUAAUACCGCAUAACAAUGCGACGGCACAUGCUGUUGCAUUCAAAGCCGCAAGGCGCCAGUAGAGGGAUCCGCGCCGAUUAGCUUGUUGGCGGGGUAACGGCCCACCAAGGCAAUGAUCGGUAGCCGGACUGAGAGGUUGGCCGGCCACACUGGAACUGAGACACCGUCCAG
This 282-nucleotide ribosomal RNA is filed under the name uncultured bacterium. RNAcentral describes it as "partial 16S ribosomal RNA". It matches the Rfam family "Bacterial small subunit ribosomal RNA", at positions 44 to 334 of the family's 1533-position model. The record is from RNAcentral.